Salvia miltiorrhiza (redroot sage) is the source of this 537-nucleotide long non-coding RNA. RefSeq lists it as uncharacterized. The transcript is spliced from 2 exons. The record is from RefSeq and is a predicted model, not a curated record. NCBI's taxonomy places the organism in Eukaryota, Viridiplantae, Streptophyta, Magnoliopsida, Lamiales, Lamiaceae.
UACUGGGCGUAGUGACGCGUGACUUGAUUGAUGAGGUCGCUGCAGUGUCCGCCGCCGCUGUCCAUUUCGCGGAGGAGCAGCCGGAGAUAGUGCUCCUGACGGAUAAUCCACUGCUCGAAAAAGGCUCCGAAUGUUUGAUGCUCAUGUUUGGAAGAUGGAUUAGCUCUUAAGGAAGUUCGGCGGCGAGGUGAUGCGGCGGAGGAUGGGGGUAGACAAGAAAUGUCGUCACCUGUUUGAUGGAAGAAGAUAUAUGUAUAAUUAUGCAGAGAACUCUUCAUACAUCCAAAGGGGCAAGGCCAACUCUCUCUCUCUCCCUGACACACACAACACACCGUUUGAUAUUGUUCAAAAAAACAUAACACACCGUUUGAUUUAGAGGAGCUCCAUCUUAGUUGGAUUAGUAGAGAAGUACUUCAUUUUCUUUUUUAGAUGUUUCCCAAAAAUAGGAAGAAAAGGAGUUUGUCAAUUUGUUAUGGUCAUUAAUAAAUAUUAGUAAGCCGCCUGUGUUAUUCAUAAAUAUCCAAUCUUCAUCGUUUA